RNAcentral lists this transfer RNA (77 nucleotides) under Bdellovibrionales bacterium. RNAcentral's name for it is "tRNA-Arg". It matches the Rfam family "tRNA". Rfam says of the family: Transfer RNA (tRNA) molecules are approximately 80 nucleotides in length. The record is from RNAcentral. Lineage: Bacteria; Pseudomonadati; Bdellovibrionota; Bdellovibrionia; Bdellovibrionales.
GCAUCCGUAGCUCAAUUGGAUAGAGUACUUGACUUCGGAUCAAGGGGUUGGGGGUUCGAGUCCUCCCGGGUGCACCA